GACGAACGCUGGCGGCGUGCUUAACACAUGCAAGUCGAACGGAAAGGCCCUGCUUGUGUGGGGUGCUCGAGUGGCGAACGGGUGAGUAACGCGUGAGUAACCUGCCCUUGACUUUGGGAUAACUUCAGGAAACUGGGGCUAAUACCGGAUAGGUGCUCCUGCUGCAUGGUGGGGGUAGGAAAGUUUGGGCGGUUGGGGAGGGACGCGCGGGUUAUCAGCUUGUUGGUGGGGGAGUGGCUUACCAAGGCUUGGGCGGGUGGCCGGCCUGAGUGGGAGACCGGCCGGACUGGGUGGGAGAGACGGCCGGGACUGCCUCGGGAGGGAGGAGGGAGGGAGAAUGAAUGAUGGACGGGAGGCUGAUGCACCAACGGCGCGUGCGGGAUGACGGCCGUCGGGUGGGAUGCCGCCUUCGCCUGUCACGGAGGGAGUGUGACGGUAAGGGGAGAAGAAGCACCGGCUAACUACGUG
Molecule: ribosomal RNA, 468 nt
Filed under: uncultured bacterium
Lineage: Bacteria
Description: partial 16S ribosomal RNA
Rfam family: Bacterial small subunit ribosomal RNA
Source: RNAcentral